GAUGAAGAACGUAGCGAAAUGCGAUAAGUAAUGUGAAUUGCAGAAUUCAGUGAAUCAUCGAGUCUUUGAACGCACAUUGCGCCCCCUGGUAUUCCGGGGGGCAUGCCUGUCCGAGCGUCAUUGCUGCCCUCAAGCACGGCUUGUGUGUUGGGCCCCCGUCCCCGGUUUCCCCCGGGGACGGGCCCGAAAGGCAGCGGCGGCACCGCGUCCGGUCCUCGAGCGUAUGGGGCUUUGUCACCCGCUCUGUAGGCCCGGCCGGCGCCAGCCGACACCCAACUUUAUUUCUAAGGUUGACCUCGGAUCAGGAAGGGAUACCCGCUGAACUUAAGCAUAUCAAUAAGCGGAGGA
Molecule: unclassified non-coding RNA, 348 nt
Filed under: soil metagenome
Description: partial contains 5.8S ribosomal RNA, internal transcribed spacer 2, and large subunit ribosomal RNA
Rfam family: 5.8S ribosomal RNA (bases 1-120)
Source: RNAcentral